Molecule: transfer RNA, 73 nt
Organism: Streptococcus sp.
Lineage: Bacteria; Bacillati; Bacillota; Bacilli; Lactobacillales; Streptococcaceae
Rfam family: tRNA
About the family: Transfer RNA (tRNA) molecules are approximately 80 nucleotides in length. Their secondary structure includes four short double-helical elements and three loops (D, anti-codon, and T loops). Further hydrogen bonds mediate the characteristic L-shaped molecular structure. tRNAs have two regions of fundamental functional importance: the anti-codon, which is responsible for specific mRNA codon recognition, and the 3' end, to which the tRNAs corresponding amino acid is attached (by aminoacyl-tRNA synthetases). tRNAs cope with the degeneracy of the genetic code in two manners: having more than one tRNA (with a specific anti-codon) for a particular amino acid; and 'wobble' base-pairing, i.e. permitting non-standard base-pairing at the 3rd anti-codon position.
Source: Rfam
GCCGCAAUAGCUCAGUCGGUAGAGCAGCACCAUGGUAAGGUGAAGGUCGUAGGUUCGAUUCCUAUUUGCGGCA